Molecule: non-coding RNA, 71 nt
Organism: Peziza echinospora
Lineage: Eukaryota; Fungi; Ascomycota; Pezizomycetes; Pezizales; Pezizaceae
Source: the annotation of a GenBank genome assembly
GGUUGUGUGGUGUAAUGGUAGCACGUAUCGUUGUGGCCGAUACAAUCGCGGUUCGAUUCCGUGCACAGCCA